RNAcentral lists this ribosomal RNA (433 nucleotides) under uncultured bacterium. RNAcentral's name for it is "partial 16S ribosomal RNA". It matches the Rfam family "Bacterial small subunit ribosomal RNA", at positions 29 to 507 of the family's 1533-position model. The record is from RNAcentral.
AACGAACGCUGGCGGCAGGCCUAACACAUGCAAGUCGAGCGAGGACUUCGGUUCUAGCGGCGGACGGGUGAGUAACGCGUGGGAAUGUGCCCUUCUCUACGGAAUAGCCCUGGGAAACUGGGAGUAAUACCGUAUACGCCCUAUUGGGGAAAGAUUUAUCGGAGAAGGAUCAGCCCGCGUUGGAUUAGGUAGUUGGUGGGGUAAUGGCCUACCAAGCCGACGAUCCAUAGCUGGUUUGAGAGGAUGGUCAGCCACACUGGGACUGAGACACGGCCCAGACUCCUACGGGAGGCAGCAGUGGGGAAUCUUAGACAAUGGGGGCAACCCCGAUCUAGCCAUGCCGCGUGAGUGAUGAAGGCCUUAGGGUUGUAAAGCUCUUUCAGCUGGGAAGAUAAUGACGGUACCAGCAGAAGAAGCCCCGGCUAACUCCGUG